This 1097-nucleotide long non-coding RNA is filed under the name Heterocephalus glaber (naked mole-rat). RNAcentral's name for it is "lncRNA (ENSHGLG00100036288.1)". Lineage: Eukaryota; Metazoa; Chordata; Mammalia; Rodentia; Bathyergidae. The record is from RNAcentral.
GACAAGUUAGAUCCGGCUACGAGACUUAAAGGCGGAGGGAACUGCUUGGACCGCAGCACAGGGCGGAUCAGACCGGUAGUGCUUCCUGUUGUGAGCCGCGCAACCCUGCCGGUUUCGCUUCCUAGAAAUGACGAGAUGGGCGUGCUCCUGACUCUUGACCAUUGGGAAAUCUUCCCAGCCUGGUAGCACGCCAAGCCUUGGGGGGUUCAGUGGCGGAGGCGGCUAUCUUUCUGGGAUAGGGGCUGAAUUGUUCCUUUGCUGCUUUUGCUACCCUGUGGGUGCCAUGUUUUAUCUCCUCUGCGAUACCUGUUUGCCAUCCCUGCCUUGGAGCCAGGUGAUUAUGGACUGAAACUUCUACAAAUUUGCACGUUGUUCAGAAUACUAAGAAGCUCCUGGCCAGACAUGGUGGUACAAGCCUAUAAGCCCAGCACUCAGGAGGCAGAGGCAAGAGGAUCACUGAGUUCAAAGCCAGGCUGAACUACAUAGUAAGACCCUGUCUCAAAAAAAAAAAAAGCUCCUGAUAAAAGAGGAAGACGAGAGAGGUAACAAGAAUGGCCUGCCACACAGGAAAGGAAAACUAAGCACUUGUACUGUCAGCUGCCAUGAACUAAGCAGUUUUGGGCCACCACACCUUCUACCAUGAUGUUUUUGCCUGGGAGCCAGCUGACUAUGGACUGAAUCCUCUGAAACUGUGAGCCAAAUAAACUUCUCCUUUACAUUACAGAUGUCAGGUAUUUUGUCCAGCAAUGGAAAGGCUAAGGCACUCCCUUUUUGUUACCUCCUUUGUCCAUAAAAAUUAGUCUUUGAGGCAUUUCUAUGACUUGUACCUAUUUCUAUUUUUAAUUUUUUUCCCCAGUACCAAGUAUCAAACUCAGGACCUUUUGCUUGCAAGGCAGGCAUGGUGCCACUGAGCUAAAUCCUUGGCCCUGGUUUUUGGGUUUUUGCCAGGGUCUCACUGUGUAGUCCAGGCUCACCUCAAGAUCACUGUGUAGUCUAGUGGCGAAGCCUAACCGACCUCCAAUGCUGCUUGACAAAGUUCCAGCUGGGGGAAAGAAAGGGUGGAACACAUCAUACCCUCAUGUUUUAUUUUUUCUUGC